AUGAUAGGAGGCAAUAAAGCGGGCCACCCGCACAGACCCCCUCUGCACUCGCACUGGAUGUCCCAACAACAGCCCUGCUGUGUCUAUUGCAGUCCUGGAAAAGGUUAUGGAGAGAAAAUGCCACCUUAUUGUGCAGGUUUGUCAAUGGGAAAAACCAGCAAUAGCAGGCAGGGAUCUUAUGAACCUCCUCCAGGAUUUAUGGAUACCUGGGAGUGGCUAGAAUCCAUGGGCUACCCUAAACCACCACCACUUAUGCUGGAAUUGAAUGGGCGCCUGGUUAGGACAUUUGAGGAAGUGUUUGGUUGGUUACAUGCUUGGAAAGGUUAUAAAAACUUCGAUAUGUUGCACGGUCAUGGAAAGAAUGCCUGGCAGAGGCUUGAUAAGAAGAUAGUUGCAACUAUAUCCAAUCGUGUUAUCUCACUUGUUUCGUUCAAUGGAGAGGGUACGAGUUUUUUUUCAUGCUCAGGCUUCCUUAUAAGGGGUCCGCCAAGAAAAGGGCGCACACGCAAUGUGAUUGUGACUUCGGCCAGUUUGGUUAGAACUUGUGAUGUUACAGACAAAUUUGAUGAGAAUAUGAGGAUUGAGGUGUUUCUCCCACCGAAUCAGCGCUUGAAUGGGACACUGGAAUCAUAUCAUUCCGGAUAUAAUAUUGCUAUUGUCACCGUUAAGGGUUUGCGUGAUAUUUGUCCAGAAGAUAUGAAAUUUGAUGAUCCCAUGAGUAACCAAGAGAAUCCUUUACCCAGAAGGGUGGUAGCUAUAGGGCGUGAGCCCAAAGGAGUGUUAUGUGCCUCAAUGGGUAUACUUUGUGAUGAAGACCUGCACUGGCCUAGCACAUUUGGUUGCCAGCAACUUAAGCUGUCCAAUUGUAAAAUCUCGAAGGUUGGUAUUGGAGGCCCCCUGAUAAACUUCUUUAAUGGGCGUCUUGUUGGCAUGAACUUUUGUGAUGGAAGGCCUGAUAGAACUCCCUACCUGCCUUGUAAGCAAAUUCGUGAAGUCUUACAUAGCACAUGGCGCUUAACUACCGACCGCUCUGUGCUCAGAUUGGACAAACCAGAUGUGAACAACAAAUGCAGAUGGCCAGUGCCCAAGCCAUAUUGGUAUCACGGUCUUCUCGAGAUGAAUAGGUUUGGUCCGAUGCCCAUGAUAGGAUGGGCUCGCCAGUAG
This 1164-nucleotide ribosomal RNA is filed under the name Triticum aestivum (bread wheat). Its description in RNAcentral is "partial small subunit ribosomal RNA". The record is from RNAcentral. Lineage: Eukaryota; Viridiplantae; Streptophyta; Magnoliopsida; Poales; Poaceae.